This is a long non-coding RNA of Entelurus aequoreus (snake pipefish), 1322 nucleotides long. RefSeq lists it as uncharacterized. The transcript has 3 exons. The record is from RefSeq and is a predicted model, not a curated record. NCBI's taxonomy places the organism in Eukaryota, Metazoa, Chordata, Actinopteri, Syngnathiformes, Syngnathidae.
GGAUCGAUAAAGACUAAUUGCUGAACCUGUUUUUGAUAAAAGAUAGGUUUAGUCAGGUUCUCCAAAAACAACCUGGAAUGGGUUCCUCUGUGCAGAUUUGAGGAUGAAAGCAACCACUCCAGAUUCCCUUGCACUCGCUAAGAGGGGCACGGUCAAAGCAAAUCCAGGACCAACACCCGAUACCUGACUGGAAGGAACCGAGAGGAGAGACAACACCUUGCCAGCGAUGACGAGAACAACUAAGGUUGCCAGCCAAUGUGUCCACCGGGACUCCAGCAGCUGUGGAAAGAAGUGUCGGGAGUGCCGAAGCAGCGAGGAGGCCUGAAGCAAGCACUCUGCCCCCGCCUUCCCCAAAGCCCCCACAGCUCCAACUUUUUCUCAGCUUUUCCCCAAAGCGGCCAGCGCGCACAUGCCAUUGCACAGUCUGCCCAAUGGACUGAACCACACCCCAAGAAGAGACAGAGACAGACUGUUUGAGUGGAUCUAAUUCUUCACCAAGGCAGCCAAAAGCCCAACGAGGUGUCGGCAGGCCACCAGCCUGAGGCACCACCGAGCCAUCUAUACGAGCACUAAUCGAACAUGGACUCAUACGAAAUUCAGUUGUGUGUUCAAAAUUAAUUGGUAAUUAACAAUAUUGGUAACUACAUCCAUUGCAAAUGCCGGGAAAAAUAUUUUUGCAAAUGUCUUACAGUCAUAAGUCUAUAUACAUUCAUCUAUUUAUGUUCAAUGAUGUUCAUGAUCAAAGUAUUUGUUAUUCCUUUAGUAAAUCAAAGGGUAGGCCACUAAUUGUGUUCUGAGAGAUGGUUUUACUGCAGGCUGGUAACAGCGAUCGCUCUGAAGGAGCGUCAUAGACGGAAUUUUUGCCUCGUAUAAAAACAUUGAGGUUUUUGCCUCUAUCUGUGGUAGAGAUUAGUGGUCUACAUCAGAAAUUGUUUUGGUCCAGGGUCUUAAGACCCUGGAAGGCGGGUAUGUAGUAGAAUUUCUGACCUUUGACCUAUAUUUCUUGUCUUUUAAGAAUGUCCGCUCAUUUUCAAUUCUCUUCUAUUUUGUGCCAUUGAAUGGACCAGUUGUGGGACAAAGGUGAAUAUGGAGUUAUGCCAACCUGUCUACAGAAUGUUUAGAUUUUCCAAAUAUGACUAGGAGAUAUAAGGUUGUUUUGGAACAGACAAAACCAAAACAAAACAAUCGUGGCGCAUUAGAUAACAAACAAUGACGCACAAGAGACAUAUAAAAAAUGUCAGAAGACCGGAACUCGACAGUGAUUUUGGCUUGUGUGUGUCUUGUUUACUCCGGAGUAACAUGUGGUCUGUCUGCACGGCCAA